UUUUGAACUUCGCAACAAUCUUGUGAACUUCGCAACGAAGUUCGGAAACUUCGUUGCGAAGUUCACAAGAUUGUUGCGAAGUUCAAAAGU
RNAcentral lists this microRNA precursor (90 nucleotides) under Paramuricea clavata. The record is from RNAcentral. Lineage: Eukaryota; Metazoa; Cnidaria; Anthozoa; Malacalcyonacea; Plexauridae.